Molecule: long non-coding RNA, 1292 nt
Organism: Triticum dicoccoides
Lineage: Eukaryota; Viridiplantae; Streptophyta; Magnoliopsida; Poales; Poaceae
Exons: 7
Source: RefSeq, a predicted model, not a curated record
GCUCCCUUCCUCUCUUUCUCCUCCCCUCCCAUCACCCAUCCGCCCUGGCCCAUCUCCUCCCCGUCUGCUGAGCGGCCGCGGCCGCUCGUGGUGCUGCUCUACCGGAGGAGUGUGCCACAAAAGCGGCCGAGCGUGAGGUGCUGGCAGACCGCACCGAUGGCCGCCGCCAUGGGGACCGAUGAGGGCAUCAUGAUGAGGUGAAUAUCGUGCUCUCUCUCUCUCUCAUCGAUGCUUCUUCCGUCUCCCGUCGUGCAGGUUGCCGCUGCGUCCAUAGCAGAGGGGAUCCGGCCGGCAUGCUGCGUCAAACCUUGCGCCAAGCCUGCAUCUACUACCUCGCCAGGUGACAGGAGGGGGCAGCUCAAACAGGAAAUUGCUGAAAUCACAGAGGAGCAUGGAAAGAUCGAUGAGGCUACUGAAAUCAAGCAGGAAGUUGUUGAAAUGCAUUGGACUAUCCGCUCUACAGCGUGGAUUGGGUGGCCAGACUCUGCGUCCGUGUAUCUCUCCUGUGGCAUUAUCGUGGUGGUCUUGAAAUUGGCCCUGUCAAGCUUAUACACAUGGUUCUCGUUGAUGAGUGAUGCCCAUAGGAUAGCUCCAUCAGAGAAAACACCUCCACACACCCCUCUGCAGCCAUGAACAAACACAAUGGAUUGUGUGCAUCUUCUAAAGAAACAGGGAAGGGAAGCGUUGUCUGUAGAUCACUUUUCCCUUGAAAAAAAUAGAAAGAGACGAGUUUUAUCUGGAGCAUUGGCAUCUCUAGCCGAGCCGCGCAAGCAGAAAGCGGAGCAGGAGCAGCUCGGGGAGGAAGCCAAGGUCUAAAAUGCCGAAUCUCCCAAUAAAGUGGCGAAAAUAAUUAUGUGUGGUUUCAUGGACCCUUACCUUAUUGAUGGGAACCACACAGAGCUUGAGGAGAUGUAGGCCAGCGUGCCACCUCCUACGCUUUUCAUGUAACCGCUGAGCCGCCUUCUUUGCUCCAGAGGCUUCUUGUGUCACCAUAGGAUCCGUGUGUCACAACAUGCAAGCAAAUCAAAUGAAGGAGUGUGGACAAAGUUAUAUAUCAAGCAAAUCGAAUGAAGGCGUGUGGACAAAGUUAUAUAUGCAAUCAACCAUGUAGUUUACUAUUGUGCAGUAUGAAAAAUAGUGUAAAUAAGUUAUCUGAGACUAAUACUAUGGCCUGCUUUUGGUUUCUAUCAUACCAAACGUUGCUUUGGUAUUUCAUGUCACAUUGUAUAACAAAUGUGCCGAUGGCAUGUAGAUAGGGCCAUGUUUUUAGAUAUUUUACGAGGUGAUUACUG